AUUGAACGCUGGCGGCAUGCCUUACACAUGCAAGUCGAACGGUAACGCGGGGCAACCUGGCGGCGAGUGGCGAACGGGUGAGUAACGCAUCGGAACGUGCCCAGUAGUGGGGGAUAGCCCGGUGAAAGCCGGAUUAAUACCGCAUACGACCUACGGGUGAAAGGGGGGGAUCGCAAGACCUCUCGCUAUUGGAGCGGCCGAUGGCAGAUUAGGUAGUUGGUGGGGUAAAGGCCUACCAAGCCGACGAUCUGUAGCUGGGCUGAGGGGACGACCAGCCACACUGGGACUGAGACACGGCCCAGACUCCUACGGGAGGCAGCAGUGGGGAAUUUUGGACAAUGGGCGAAAGCCUGAUCCAGCCAUGCCGCGUGCGGGAAGAAGGCCUUCGGGUUGUAAACCGCUUUUGUCAGGGAAGAAAUCUUCUGAGCUAAUACCUCGGGAGGAUGACGGUACCUGAAGAAUAAGCACCGGCUAACUACGUGCCAGCAGCCGCCGUAA
RNAcentral lists this ribosomal RNA (498 nucleotides) under uncultured bacterium. RNAcentral describes it as "partial 16S ribosomal RNA". It matches the Rfam family "Bacterial small subunit ribosomal RNA", at positions 29 to 523 of the family's 1533-position model. The record is from RNAcentral.